RNAcentral lists this ribosomal RNA (478 nucleotides) under uncultured anaerobic ammonium-oxidizing bacterium. Its description in RNAcentral is "bacterial SSU rRNA". It matches the Rfam family "Bacterial small subunit ribosomal RNA", at positions 365 to 833 of the family's 1533-position model. The record is from RNAcentral.
UUCGCAAUGCCCGAAAGGGUGACGAAGCGACGCCGCGUGUGGGAAGAAGGCCUUCGGGUUGUAAACCGCUGUCGGGAGUUAGGAAAUGCAAGGAUGUUAAUAGCAUUCUUGCUUGACUAAGGCUCCGGAGGAAGCCACGGCUAACUCUGUGCCAGCAGCCGCGGUAAUACAGAGGCGGCAAGCGUUGUUCGGAAUUAUUGGGCGUAAAGAGCACGUAGGCGGCUGUGUAAGUCGGUUGUGAAAGCCUUCCGCUUAACGGAAGAACGGCAUCCGAUACUGCAUAGCUUGAGUGCGGGAGGGGAGAGUGGAACUUCUGGUGGAGCGGUGAAAUGCGUAGAUAUCAGAAGGAACACCGGCGGCGAAGGCGACUCUCUGGUCCGUAACUGACGCUGAGUGUGCGAAAGCUAGGGGAGCAAACGGGAUUAGAUACCCCGGUAGUCCUAGCCGUAAACGAUGGGCACUAAGUAGAGGGGUUUUA